GGCGGUGACGAUAGAAGAGAGGUUCCACCUGUUCCCAUCCCGAACACAGAAGUUAAGCUCUCUCUCGCCCAAAGUACUUGGCUUAACAGCCCGGAAGGAUAGGUUGUUGCCGCCU
Molecule: ribosomal RNA, 115 nt
Filed under: Bacillota bacterium
Lineage: Bacteria; Bacillati; Bacillota
Source: RNAcentral